AAAAAUAUACCACAUUGAAAACGCCGGUUUUCGUCCGAUCACCGAAGUUAAGCAACGUCGGGCCCGGUCAGUACUUGGGAGGGUGACCAAAUAUUUACAAAAAGUU
Cordylochernes scorpioides is the source of this 106-nucleotide non-coding RNA. The record is from the annotation of a GenBank genome assembly. NCBI's taxonomy places the organism in Eukaryota, Metazoa, Arthropoda, Arachnida, Pseudoscorpiones, Chernetidae.